Molecule: small RNA, 87 nt
Filed under: Legionella adelaidensis
Lineage: Bacteria; Pseudomonadati; Pseudomonadota; Gammaproteobacteria; Legionellales; Legionellaceae
Description: t44 RNA
Rfam family: t44 RNA
About the family: This family consists of a number of bacterial RNA genes of between 135 and 170 bases in length. The t44 gene is found between the map and rpsB genes in all species in the full alignment apart from Shigella flexneri. The function of this RNA is unknown.
Source: Rfam by way of RNAcentral
AAUAACGCGCUUUAAAUCCACACACGUUUUCAUAACAUGCAGUAGGGUCCCCGUAGGGGUUCUGUAUGGAAAGCGUGGAGGCGUAAC